UACAGAGGGGGCAAGCGUUGUUCGGAAUUACUGGGCGUAAAGGGCGCGUAGGCGGCCCGCUAAGUCGAACGUGAAAUCCCCGAGCUCAACUCGGGAACUGCGUCCGAUACUGGCGGGCUUGAAUCCGGGAGAGGGAUGUGGAAUUCCAGGUGUAGCGGUGAAAUGCGUAGAUAUCUGGAGGAACACCGGUGGCGAAGGCGACAUCCUGGACCGGUAUUGACGCUGAGGCGCGAAAGCCAGGGGAGCAAACGGG
RNAcentral lists this ribosomal RNA (253 nucleotides) under uncultured bacterium. RNAcentral's name for it is "partial 16S ribosomal RNA". It matches the Rfam family "Bacterial small subunit ribosomal RNA", at positions 524 to 776 of the family's 1533-position model. The record is from RNAcentral.